GCCAUCCUAGCUCAGUUGGUAGAGCACACCCUUGGUAAGGGUGAGGUCGUGGGUUCAAGUCCCAUGGAUGGCU
RNAcentral lists this transfer RNA (73 nucleotides) under Phycisphaeraceae bacterium. Its description in RNAcentral is "tRNA-Thr". It matches the Rfam family "tRNA". From Rfam's summary of the family: Transfer RNA (tRNA) molecules are approximately 80 nucleotides in length. Their secondary structure includes four short double-helical elements and three loops (D, anti-codon, and T loops). The record is from RNAcentral. Lineage: Bacteria; Pseudomonadati; Planctomycetota; Phycisphaerae; Phycisphaerales; Phycisphaeraceae.